GAUGAACGCUGGCGGCGUGCCUAAUACAUGCAAGUCGAGCGAACAGACGAGGAGCUUGCUCCUCUGACGUUAGCGGCGGACGGGUGAGUAACACGUAGAUAACCUACCUAUAAGACUGGGAUAACUUCGGGAAACCGGAGCUAAUACUGGAUAAUAUAUUGAACCGCAUGGUUCAAUAGUGAAAGACGGUUUUGCUGUCACUUAUAGAUGGAUCCGCGCCGCAUUAGCUAGUUGGUAAGGUAACGGCUUACCAAGGCAACGAUGCGUAGCCGACCUGAGAGGGUGAUCGGCCACACUGGAACUGAGACACGGUCCAGACUCCUACGGGAGGCAGCAGUAGGGAAUCUUCCGCAAUGGGCGAAAGCCUGACGGAGCAACGCCGCGUGAGUGAUGAAGGUCUUCGGAUCGUAAAACUCUGUUAUUAGGGAAGAACAAAUGUGUAAGUAACUAUGCACGUCUUGACGGUACCUAAUCAGAAAGCCACGGCUAACUACGUG
Molecule: ribosomal RNA, 497 nt
Filed under: uncultured bacterium
Lineage: Bacteria
Description: partial 16S ribosomal RNA
Rfam family: Bacterial small subunit ribosomal RNA
Source: RNAcentral